GCGCUUGCACCCCGCGCGCAACACCACUAUCUAGAACAUGUUCCCUCGGGAACUAUGGACAUAAACGCGCUUGUAAUAAACGGAUCGGACCCGGGGGCGGUACCCGGCGUCUCCACCAAACAUCCUUCAUUUGGGGAUCAUGGGGACGAAACAGGAUCGACGGACGUCUAAAGAAGUUAGCUUUGUCUCGGCUGUCUGCCACCGUUAUCGGCGAAAACUGUACAAUUGCAAAUGACAAUCGUGCUCCGGUAGCAGUCGCUGCGUAAGCAGUGCCUAACACCGAAAUCUAAGUCCUGACGCUAGCUGCCUCAGGCGGGGUCCGCAGGAACCUGGCAACAGAAUCCUGCACC
Non-coding RNA from Shimia marina, 350 nucleotides. It matches the Rfam family "Alphaproteobacteria transfer-messenger RNA". Rfam says of the family: Bacterial tmRNA, also known as 10Sa RNA or SsrA, is named for its dual tRNA and mRNA-like properties. Its role is to liberate the mRNA from a stalled ribosome. The record is from Rfam. Lineage: Bacteria; Pseudomonadati; Pseudomonadota; Alphaproteobacteria; Rhodobacterales; Roseobacteraceae.